UACAGAGGGCUCAAGCGUUGUUCGGAUUCAUUGGGCGUAAAGGGUGCGUAGGCGGCGCGGUAAGUCGGGUGUGAAAGCUCGGGGCUUAACUCCGAAACUGCAUUCGAUACUGCCGUGCUUGAGGACUGGAGAGGAGACUGGAAUUUACGGUGUAGCGGUGAAAUGCGUAGAUAUCGUAAGGAAGACCAGUGGCGAAGGCGGGUCUCUGGACAGUUCCUGACGCUGAGGCACGAAGGCCAGGGGAGCAAACGGG
RNAcentral lists this ribosomal RNA (253 nucleotides) under uncultured bacterium. RNAcentral describes it as "partial 16S ribosomal RNA". It matches the Rfam family "Bacterial small subunit ribosomal RNA", at positions 524 to 776 of the family's 1533-position model. The record is from RNAcentral.